CAAAUGAUGGACGUUAAAAUUGUAAGAUCUGAUUGAGGUUUAUGUCAGGACUUGUAAAAUUAACUUUUUUAAAUUGGGCUUUAUUUUAGGUUGUACUAGUUCAGUUAUACAUGGCUUUUAAUGUAGUGAUUUUAUGGGGGAAAAGUUGUUUAGAGCAAGCCAAGCUAAAUUUAGUUUGUUGGUAGCAUAAAGAGCUUCAAAAAAGAUGUAUAGAUAUAUAUAUAUAUUUUCAAUUUCUUCUGUAGAAACAGUUGCAUGGCAAGUCAAAACACUGUUCUAGCAGAGCCAGACAGGAACCCCACCAUCACUCCACAGUGGGAAACCUCUGUGAUGCGUAUGCCCAGGAUGCUCUCAGAUCAGAGAGAAAAGUCGCUCACUCAGCUCAGAAGAGUGGAAAAGGCAAAACUGUGGGGAGAGUAAAAAGAUUGGUAGUUUGCUCAGGACUGGGGAGGGAGGAGAAAGGAGGGCUGAACAGGAUUACGGGAGAUUUUCAGGGCAGUGAAACUGAUCUGUAUGAUAGUAUUAAUAUAAUUGUGGAUACAUUCAUUAUAUAUUUGUCUAAACCCAUAGAAUGCACAACACCAAGAGUGACAUCUAAUGUACUUUGGGUAACAAUGACGUGUCAAUGUUGGCUUAUGGAUUGCGACAAAUGCACCACUCUGGAAGAUGUUUUAUUGACAUGCCAUGUUGCCCAGGCAGGUAGGUCGAGUCUACGGGAGAAGGUAAGUGGCCGCCGUGGGAAGAUUCUAGUCUGCUCAACUCAUGGGCCAACUCCCCAACCCAUAUGACAUGUUUUACUGGCAUUUCUUUCGAAAUUUAUUACAGUUACUGCAUAACUCAAAUUUUUAUUUUUCCUUUUUGUAAGCCAUUGUUGGUUCUUACGGUGGCAUAUUGGUUUCAUAUACUUUAGAAGUCCCAGGGUUAUUUAAGAAUCACUGUCCUUGAUUGUAGGUAUUGGUAAAAGCACAAUUAUGUAUUCUAAUUAGUUACUCUUGAUAGUUACUCCUACUAAUGAGAGCUUCUCAUUUAUCUCAGAAUUUCCAAAGUCAAAGUCCUGAUUUUUAGUGUCUACCCUCCCAGUGUUUACAUGUUUUAACUAUAGGAUAACUUGGUGAUUUUGGACUAUUUUCUGUGGCAAUUUAUUUCAGCUCUGUAAGAAAUGAAUUUUUGAUCAUUGAUAAGAACUAAAAUCUAGUCAAACAGUUCUGCUAGUAAUCAGUUCGACUUAAAAACAAACUGACAAAAGAACAGGCAAAUUCUGGUCUAAUCUCUCUGAGCACCAUACCGUGGUAUGUGCUCUCUUCUUCUUUUAACUUAAAAGAUACAGCCCCGAGCAGUUGGGAAUGCGAUCUAGUUUUGUUGCUUUGCAGGACACCUAGGUACAGUGUCCCGUGUGGUGUUGUCAGAGGUGUUUGAAGCAGAGGAACUCCAUCUUGAGUAGCAGCUGUGUAAAAUGAGGCCGAGAGGCACUGGGCUGCCUUCUUAGGAGGUCGGGCAUUCUUAGUCACAGGAUGAGAUAGGAGGUCGGCACAAGAUACAGGUCACAAAGACCUUGCUGAUACAGCAAGUUGCAGUACAGAAGCCGGCCAAAACCCACCAAAACCAAGGUGGGACCACAGUAACCUCUGGUUGUCCUCAUUGCUCAUUAUAUGUUAAUUAUAAUGCGUUAGCACGCUGUUAGUAAAAGACACUCCCAGCAGCACCAUGACAGUUUGCAAAUGCCAUGGCAACGUCAGGAAGUUACCCUAUAUGGUCUAAAAAAAAAAGGAGGAACUCUCAGUUCUGGGAAUUGCCCACCCCUUUCCUGGAAAACUCAUGAAUAAUCCACACCUUGUUUAGUGUAUAAUGUAGAAGUAACGAUCAGUAUAAGCAGCUGAGCA
Molecule: long non-coding RNA, 1880 nt
Filed under: Homo sapiens (human)
Lineage: Eukaryota; Metazoa; Chordata; Mammalia; Primates; Hominidae
Description: non-protein coding lnc-IRF4-18:1
Source: RNAcentral